Molecule: ribosomal RNA, 254 nt
Filed under: uncultured bacterium
Lineage: Bacteria
Description: partial 16S ribosomal RNA
Rfam family: Bacterial small subunit ribosomal RNA
Source: RNAcentral
UACGUAGGGUGCAAGCGUUAAUCGGAAUUACUGGGCGUAAAGCGUGCGCAGGCGGUUGUGCAAGACCGAUGUGAAAUCCCCGGGCUCAACCUGGGAAUGGCAUUGGUGACUGCACGGCUAGAGUGUGUCAGAGGGGGGUAGAAUUCCACGUGUGAGCAGUGAAAUGCGUAGAGAUGUGGAGGAAUACCGAUGGCGAAGGCAGCCCCCUGGGAUAACACUGACGCUCAUGCACGAAAGCGUGGGGAGCAAACAGG